AUUGAACGCUGGCGGCAGGCUUAACACAUGCAAGUCGAGCGGGGGAAGGUAGCUUGCUACCGGACCUAGCGGCGGACGGGUGAGUAAUGCUUAGGAAUCUGCCUAUUAGUGGGGGACAACAUCUCGAAAGGGAUGCUAAUACCGCAUACGUCCUACGGGAGAAAGCAGGGGAUCUUCGGACCUUGCGCUAAUAGAUGAGCCUAAGUCGGAUUAGCUAGUUGGUGGGGUAAAGGCCUACCAAGGCGACGAUCUGUAGCGGGCCUGAGAGGAUGAUCCGCCACACUGGGACUGAGACACGGCCCAGACUACUACGGGAGGCAGCAGUGGGGAAUAUUGGACAAUGGGGGGAACCCUGAUCCAGCCAUGCCGCGUGUGUGAAGAAGGCCUUAUGGUUGUAAAGCACUUUAAGCGAGGAGGAGGCUACUCUAGUUAAUACCUAGGGAUAGUGGACGUUACUCGCAGAAUAAGCACCGGCUAACUCUGUGCCAGCAGCCGCCGUAA
RNAcentral lists this ribosomal RNA (501 nucleotides) under uncultured bacterium. RNAcentral describes it as "partial 16S ribosomal RNA". It matches the Rfam family "Bacterial small subunit ribosomal RNA", at positions 30 to 523 of the family's 1533-position model. The record is from RNAcentral.